AUCCGUCGCAGAAGCUUUUUCUUCUUGUUUGACACGCCCUUCUCCUUCUGUGUAGCAUCUUGUUCUUCCUCUUCUGAAUCUGAAUCGACCUUUUUCUUCGAAUCAGCAUUUUGGGCAGAUUCAUCUUUUUUAUCAUUCUCCUCAGAACCAGCAAUUUCAUGGAAAUUAAAUCUCUCAAAGAUCUUCCUGAAUUCGUCAUCCAACCCAGCUUCCAACUCUGCCUUUUCUGGAACAUACUCAACCACCACUUGCUCGAAGGCCUGUUGAGGA
Molecule: unclassified non-coding RNA, 270 nt
Filed under: Hevea brasiliensis (rubber tree)
Lineage: Eukaryota; Viridiplantae; Streptophyta; Magnoliopsida; Malpighiales; Euphorbiaceae
Source: RNAcentral